UACGUAGGGGGCAAGCGUUGUCCGGAAUCAUUGGGCGUAAAGAGCGUGUAGGCGGCCCGGUAAGUCCGCUGUGAAAGUCCAGGGCUCAACCCUGGGAUGCCGGUGGAUACUGUCGGGCUCGAGUCCGGAAGAGGAGUGUGGAAUUCCUGGUGUAGCGGUGAAAUGCGCAGAUAUCAGGAGGAACACCAAUGGCGAAGGCAGCACUCUGGGACGUGACUGACGCUGAGGAGCGAAAGCGUGGGGAGCGAACAGG
RNAcentral lists this ribosomal RNA (253 nucleotides) under uncultured bacterium. RNAcentral's name for it is "partial 16S ribosomal RNA". It matches the Rfam family "Bacterial small subunit ribosomal RNA", at positions 524 to 776 of the family's 1533-position model. The record is from RNAcentral.